CUUCGGGUCUAGCGGCGGACGGGUGAGUAACGCGUGGGAACGUGCCCUUCUCUACGGAAUAGCCCCGGGAAACUGGGAGUAAUACCGUAUACGCCCUUUGGGGGAAAGAUUUAUCGGAGAAGGAUCGGCCCGCGUUGGAUUAGGUAGUUGGUGGGGUAAUGGCCCACCAAGCCGACGAUCCAUAGCUGGUUUGAGAGGAUGAUCAGCCACACUGGGACUGAGACACGGCCCAGACUCCUACGGGAGGCAGCAGUGGGGAAUCUUAGACAAUGGGGGCAACCCUGAUCUAGCCAUGCCGCGUGAGUGAUGAAGGCCUUAGGGUUGUAAAGCUCUUUCAGCUGGGAAGAUAAUGACGGUACCAGCAGAAGAAGCCCCGGCUAACUCCGUGCCAGCAGCCGCGGUAAUACGGAGGGGGCUAGCGUUGUUCGGAAUUACUGGGCGUA
This 443-nucleotide ribosomal RNA is filed under the name Paracoccus marcusii. Its description in RNAcentral is "bacterial SSU rRNA". It matches the Rfam family "Bacterial small subunit ribosomal RNA", at positions 84 to 562 of the family's 1533-position model. The record is from RNAcentral. Lineage: Bacteria; Pseudomonadati; Pseudomonadota; Alphaproteobacteria; Rhodobacterales; Paracoccaceae.